GACGAACGCUGGCGGCGUGCUUAACACAUGCAAGUCGAACGGAAAGGCCCUGCUUUUGUGGGGUGCUCGAGUGGCGAACGGGUGAGUAACACGUGAGUAACCUGCCCUUGACUUUGGGAUAACUUCAGGAAACUGGGGCUAAUACCGGAUAGGAGCUCCUGCUGCACGGUGUGGGUUGGAAAGUUUCGGCGGUUGGGGAUGGACUCGCGGCUUAUCAGCUUGUUGGUGGGGUAGUGGCUUACCAAGGCUUCGACGGGUAGCCGGCCUGAGAGGGUGACCGGCCACAUUGGGACUGAGGUACGGCGCAGACUCCUACGGGAGGCAGCAGGGGGGAAUAUUGCACAAUGGGCGGAAGCCUGAUGCAGAAACGCCGCGUGCGGGAUGACGGCCUUCGGGUUGUAAACCGCUGUCGCCUGUGACGAAGCGUGAGUGACGGUAAUGGGUAAAGAAGCACCGGCUAACUACGUG
RNAcentral lists this ribosomal RNA (468 nucleotides) under uncultured bacterium. RNAcentral describes it as "partial 16S ribosomal RNA". It matches the Rfam family "Bacterial small subunit ribosomal RNA", at positions 28 to 507 of the family's 1533-position model. The record is from RNAcentral.